UGCUGACCAGCUAGCCCACCCUAACAAAAACAACAACCCAAUAUAAAUAACCCCAAACACACUACUCCUCCUAUAAACAAACCAUUUUACCCCCCUAGUAUGGGCGACAGAAAAGGAACUAUUGGAGCGAUAGAGAAAGUACCGCAAGGGAACGCUGAAAGAGAAAUGAAAUAACCCAGUAAAGCCUAAAAAAGCAGAGAUUUUACCUCGUACCUUUUGCAUCAUGAUUUAGCUAGUACUACCCAAGCAAAGAGAACUUUAGUUUGGACCCCCGAAACUAGGUGAGCUACUCCAAGACAGCCUAUCAAUAGGGCAAACCCGUCUCUGUGGCAAAAGAGUGGGAAGAGCUUUGAGUAGAGGUGACAGACCUACCGAACCUAGUUAUAGCUGGUUGCCUGAGAAUUGGAUAGGAGUUCAGCCUCCAGGCUUCUCUAUUCACCGCGGUCUUACCCCUACCGAUGCACUAAAGAAGCCUAGAGAGUUAAUCAAAGGGGGUACAGCCCCUUUGAGACAAGAUACAACUUUUCCAGGAGGGUAAAGAUCAUAUUUACCCAAGGUAACAAUGCCCAGGUGGGCCUAAAAGCAGCCAUCCUUACAGAAAGCGUUAAAGCUCAAGCAUUACACCUUCCCACAUAUUCAGAUAACCAUAUCCCAACCCCCUAAUAUUAUCAGGCCAUCUCAUGCAUACAUGAGAGUGCACAUGCUAAUAUGAGUAACAAGAGAGCCUCCGCCUCUCUCCUUGCACACGUGUAAAUCGGAACGAACCCCCACCGAAACUUAACGGCCCCAAACAAAGAGGGCAAUGAACAACAAGUAAGCAACCAGAAAACCAUCCAAAAAACAACCGUUAACCCCACACUGGUGUGCCAUUAAGGAAAGACUAAAAGAAAAAGAAGGAACUCGGCAAACAUACCAAGCCUCGCCUGUUUACCAAAAACAUCGCCUCUUGCAAAAACAAAGAAUAAGAGGUCCAGCCUGCCCUGUGACUAUAUGUUUAACGGCCGCGGUAUUUUAACCGUGCGAAGGUAGCGCAAUCACUUGUCUUUUAAAUGGAGACCUGUAUGAAUGGCAUUACGAGGGCUUAACUGUCUCCUUUUUCUAGUCAGUGAAAUUGAUCUCCCCGUGCAGAAGCGGGGAUGUAACCAUAAGACGAGAAGACCCUAUGGAGCUUUAGACACCAAGGCAUAUCAUGUCAAACACCCCUAAACAAAGGACUAAACCAAAUGAAUCAUGCCCCCAUGUCUUUGGUUGGGGCGACCGCGGGGAAAUAAAAAACCCCCACGUGGAAUGGGAGUACUACCUCCUACAACCAAGAGCUGCAGCUCUAAAAAACAGAAUAUCUGACCAAUAAGAUCCGGCAACGCCGAUCAACGGACCGAGUUACCCUAGGGAUAACAGCGCAAUCCCCUUUUAGAGCCCAUAUCGACAAGGGGGUUUACGACCUCGAUGUUGGAUCAGGACAUCCUAAUGGUGCAGCCGCUGUUAAGGGUUCGUUUGUUCAACGAUUAAAGUCCUACGUGAUCUGAGUUCAGACCGGAGUAAUCCAGGUCAGUUUCUAUCUAUGAUAUGUUCUUUUCUAGUACGAAAGGACCGAAAAGAAGAGGCCAAUGCUAAAAGCACGCCUCACCCCUCCUAUUGAAAACAACUAAAAUAGGCAAAAGGGCAUACCCCUCCACGCCCAAGAUAAUGGCAU
RNAcentral lists this ribosomal RNA (1693 nucleotides) under Thunnus albacares (yellowfin tuna). Its description in RNAcentral is "16S ribosomal RNA". It matches the Rfam family "Bacterial large subunit ribosomal RNA". Lineage: Eukaryota; Metazoa; Chordata; Actinopteri; Scombriformes; Scombridae. The record is from RNAcentral. RNAcentral also lists the same sequence under 2 other names.